This 267-nucleotide ribosomal RNA is filed under the name uncultured prokaryote. RNAcentral's name for it is "partial 16S ribosomal RNA". It matches the Rfam family "Bacterial small subunit ribosomal RNA", at positions 524 to 791 of the family's 1533-position model. The record is from RNAcentral.
UACGUAGGGGCUAGCGUUAUCCGGAUUUACUGGGCGUAAAGGGAGCGUAGGCGGACUUUUAAGUGAGAUGUGAAAUACCCGGGCUCAACUUGGGUGCUGCAUUUCAAACUGGAAGUCUAGAGUGCAGGAGAGGAGAAUGGAAUUCCUAGUGUAGCGGUGAAAUGCGUAGAGAUUAGGAAGAACACCAGUGGCGAAGGCGAUUCUCUGGACUGUAACUGACACUGAGGCUCGAAAGCGUGGGGAGCAAACAGGAUUAGAUACCCUGUA